RNAcentral lists this ribosomal RNA (570 nucleotides) under uncultured Glomeromycotina. RNAcentral's name for it is "SSU rRNA". It matches the Rfam family "Eukaryotic small subunit ribosomal RNA", at positions 548 to 1114 of the family's 1831-position model. Lineage: Eukaryota; Fungi; Glomeromycota. The record is from RNAcentral.
UUGGAGGGCAAGUCUGGUGCCAGCAGCCGCGGUAAUUCCAGCUCCAAUAGCGUAUAUUAAAGUUGUUGCAGUUAAAAAGCUCGUAGUUGAAUUUCGGGAUUGGCACAUCGGUCGUGCCUUAAGGGGCAUGAACUGGUGUAGCCAAUUUCUCACCUUCUGGAGAACCGCGAUGUCCUUAAUUGGGUGCCGCGAGGAACCAGGACCUUUACUUUGAAAAAAUUAGAGUGUUUAAAGCAGGCAUUUUGCUUGAAUACAUUAGCAUGGAAUAAUAAAAUAGGACGGAUGAUUCUAUUUUGUUGGUUUCUAGGACCACCGUAAUGAUUAAUAGGGAUAGUUGGGGGCAUUAGUAUUCAAUUGUCAAAGGUGAAAUUCUUGGAUUUAUUGAAGACUAACUACUGCGAAAGCAUUUGCCAAGGAUGUUUUCAUUAAUCAAGAACGAAAGUUAGGGGAUCGAAGACGAUCAGAUACCGUCGUAGUCUUAACCAUAAACUAUGCCGACUAGGAAUCAGACGAUGUUAAUUUUUUAAUGACUCGUUUGGCACCUUACGGGAAACCAAAGUGUUUGGGUUC